This 452-nucleotide ribosomal RNA is filed under the name uncultured bacterium. Its description in RNAcentral is "bacterial SSU rRNA". It matches the Rfam family "Bacterial small subunit ribosomal RNA", at positions 343 to 792 of the family's 1533-position model. The record is from RNAcentral.
GGGAGGCAGCAGUAAGGAAUAUUGGACAAUGGGCGCAAGCCUGAUCCAGCCAUGCCGCGUGCAGGAAGACGGUCCUAUGGAUUGUAAACUGCUUUUGUACGGGAAGAAAUACUCCUUCGUGAAGGAGCUUGACGGUACCGUAAGAAUAAGGAUCGGCUAACUCCGUGCCAGCAGCCGCAGUAAUACGGAGGAUCCAAGCGUUAUCCGGAAUCAUUGGGUUUAAAGGGUCCGUAGGCGGUUUAAUAAGUCAGUGGUGAAAUCUGGUCGCUCAACGAUCAAACGGCCAUUGAUGCUGUUAGACUUGAAUUACAAGGAAGUAACUAGAAUAUGUAGUGUAGCGGUGAAAUGCUUAGAUAUUACAUGGAAUACCAAUUGCGAAGGCAGGUUACUACUUGUGUAUUGACGCUGAUGGACGAAAGCGUGGGGAGCGAACAGGAUUAGAUACCCCCGUA